Long non-coding RNA from Mirounga angustirostris (Northern elephant seal), 578 nucleotides. RefSeq lists it as uncharacterized. Lineage: Eukaryota; Metazoa; Chordata; Mammalia; Carnivora; Phocidae. The record is from RefSeq and is a predicted model, not a curated record. The transcript is spliced from 3 exons.
GAGCAGCCGAUGUUCCCAGCUCCACUCCUGAAUCCUCACUAAGAGGACCAGCACCUGCCAAACUUGUGCCACGGGGGGCGCUGUUGAACACCGGCUUGGUGCAAAGUCUUCAAAUGCUUCAACAGCGUGCCCAGGAGACAAAGCGUUAGCUCUAGACACUUGGCCUGUUGCUCAUUCACAGCACAGUUAACAAGUCUCUGGAGUGGAAGCAGACGAGCAGUGCUGAACGGAAGAAGCCAGCCCAGCUGCCAUUUCCCUCUGCAGUUCUGCCCCCUGCAUGCCUGAGCGAGAAGAGCCAUCGAGUUAUUAGCCUUAGAGUGGGCAGAUUUCACGUACCAAUGAACAGAAUUCCGGCUUUGAGGCUUGAAAAAAAAAAAAUCACAGCAGAAUUGCAGCAAAAUUGAAGGGAGAAAGCGAUCCUUUCCCACCCUCCCCCCCAAAAGCUGCAGAGAAGAGUGGACAGCAUCCUGCAUCAUCAUCAUCCAUCCUUACAGACGUUCUCCCAACAUAGGAGUAGGCAAGUCACCUGGUUUUCCAAGGUUGCUGCUCUACCCUGAGAAAGGCAACCUUAACUUCCC